GAUGAACGCUGGCGGCGUGCCUAAUACAUGCAAGUCGAGCGAACAGACGCGGCUCUUGCUCCUCUCACGUUAGCCGCGGACGGGUGAGUAACACGUGGAUAACCUACCUAUCAGUCUGGUAUCACUUCGGGACACCGGCUCUUAUCCCGUAUAAUAUCUUGCUCCGCAUGGUUCAAUAGUAAAAUACGGCUUUUCUGUCACGUCUAGAUGGAUCCGCGCUUCGUUAGCUAGUUGGUAGGGUAUCGGCUUAUCAAGGGAACCCUGCGUAGCCGAGCUGAGAGGGUGAACGGCCACACAGGAACUGAGAGACGGUCCAGAGACCUACGGGAGGCAGCGGUAGGUAAGCUACCGAGAUGGGCGAAAGACUGACGGAGCAACGCAGCGUUAGUGAUGAAGGUCUGCGGAUCGGAAAACGCUGUUAGUAUGGUAGAACAAAUGUGUAAGUAACUAUGCACGUGUUGACGGUACCUAAUCAGAAGGCCACGGCUAACUACGU
This 496-nucleotide ribosomal RNA is filed under the name uncultured bacterium. RNAcentral's name for it is "partial 16S ribosomal RNA". It matches the Rfam family "Bacterial small subunit ribosomal RNA", at positions 28 to 506 of the family's 1533-position model. The record is from RNAcentral.